Unclassified non-coding RNA from Callithrix jacchus (white-tufted-ear marmoset), 296 nucleotides. It matches the Rfam family "Metazoan signal recognition particle RNA". Rfam says of the family: The signal recognition particle (SRP) is a universally conserved ribonucleoprotein. It is involved in the co-translational targeting of proteins to membranes. The record is from Ensembl. Lineage: Eukaryota; Metazoa; Chordata; Mammalia; Primates; Cebidae.
GCCGGGCUCAGUGGCACGUGCCUGUAGUCCCAGCUAUUUGGGAGGCUGAGGCUGGAGGAUCUCUUGGGUCCAGGAGUUCUAGGCUGUAGUGCGCUAUGCAGAUCGGGUGUCCGCACUAAGUUUGGCAUCAAUAUGAUGACCUCCCGGGAGCAGGGAACCACCAGGUUGCCUAAGGAGGGGUGAAUCGGCCCAGGUCGUAAAUGGAGCAGGUCAAAACUCCCAUGCUGGUCAGUAGUGGGAUCACGCCUGUGAAUAGCCACUGCACUCCAGCCUGGGCAGCAAGAGCCCCGUCUCUU